AGCGAACGCUGGCGGCAGGCUUAACACAUGCAAGUCGAGCGGGCAUCUUCGGAUGUCAGCGGCAGACUGGUGAGUAACACGUGGGAACUUACCCUUCGGUUCGGAACAACUCUGGGAAACUGGAGCUAAUACCGGAUACGCCCUUAUGGGGAAAGGUUUACUGCCGAAGGAUCGGCCCGCGUCUGAUUAGCUAGUUGGUGGGGUAACGGCCUACCAAGGCGACGAUCAGUAGCUGGUCUGAGAGGAUGAUCAGCCACACUGGGACUGAGACACGGCCCAGACUCCUACGGGAGGGAGCAGUGGGGAAUAUUGGACAAUGGGCGCAAGCCUGAUCCAGCCAUGCCGCGUGAGUGAUGAAGGCAUUAGGGUUGUAAAGCUCUUUUGUCCGGGACGAUAAUGACGGUACCGGAAGAAUAAGCCCCGGCUAACUUCGUG
Molecule: ribosomal RNA, 435 nt
Filed under: uncultured bacterium
Lineage: Bacteria
Description: partial 16S ribosomal RNA
Rfam family: Bacterial small subunit ribosomal RNA
Source: RNAcentral